RNAcentral lists this ribosomal RNA (406 nucleotides) under uncultured bacterium. Its description in RNAcentral is "partial 16S ribosomal RNA". It matches the Rfam family "Bacterial small subunit ribosomal RNA", at positions 30 to 526 of the family's 1533-position model. The record is from RNAcentral.
AUUGAACGCUGGCGGCAGGCCUAACACAUGCAAGUCGAACGAGUGGCGGACGGGUGAGUAAUGUCUGGGGAACUGCCCGAUGGAGGGGGAUAACUACUGGAAACGGUAGCUAAUACCGCAUACCAUCGGAUGUUCCCAGAUGGGAUUAGCUAGUAGGUGGGGUAAAGGCUCACCUAGGCGACGAUCCCUAGCUGGGCUGAGAGGAUGACCAGCCACACUGGAACUGAGACACGGUCCAGACUCCUACGGGAGGUAGCAGUGGGGAAUAUUGCACAAGGGGCGAAAGCCUGAUGCGGCCAUGCCGCGUGUAUGAGGAAGGCCUUAGGGUUGUAAAGUACUUUCAGCGAGGAGGCGUUACCCGCAGAAGAAGCACCGGCUAACUCCGUGCCAGCAGCCGCGGUAAUUC